UACGUAGGGUGCGAGCGUUGUCCGGAUUUAUUGGGCGUAAAGAGCUCGUAGGCGGUUUGUCGCGUCGGCCGUGAAAUCUCCACGCUUAACGUGGAGCGUGCGGUCGAUACGGGCAGACUUGAGUUCGGUAGGGGAGACUGGAAUUCCUGGUGUAGCGGUGAAAUGCGCAGAUAUCAGGAGGAACACCGGUGGCGAAGGCGGGUCUCUGGGACGGUACUGACGCUAAGGCGCGAAAGCGUGGGGAGCGAACAGG
This 253-nucleotide ribosomal RNA is filed under the name uncultured bacterium. RNAcentral's name for it is "partial 16S ribosomal RNA". It matches the Rfam family "Bacterial small subunit ribosomal RNA", at positions 524 to 776 of the family's 1533-position model. The record is from RNAcentral.